Long non-coding RNA from Triticum aestivum (bread wheat), 3688 nucleotides. RefSeq lists it as uncharacterized. Lineage: Eukaryota; Viridiplantae; Streptophyta; Magnoliopsida; Poales; Poaceae. The record is from RefSeq and is a predicted model, not a curated record. The transcript is spliced from 4 exons.
CGCGCUUGAAAAAGAAAAAGAAAAAGAAAAACCCACCCCCGAAUCGAGCGACUGCGUCUCCCACCCCAUCUGAAUCCGCUGCCUCGCCGCCGCCGGCCCGCAUCCUCCGCCGCGCCGUGCUGCUGUCCUCCCCGCACCCCGGCCUGCCUCCUCUCCGCCGCGCCCUCCUCCCCGCUCCGUGCUGCCGUCCUCCCCGCACCCCGGCCUGCCUCCUCUCCGCCGCGCCCUCCUCCCCGCGCCGUCCAAGUCCUCGCCCGGUUCGCCGACGCCGAGGCCCAGGCCGCCGCGCUCCGGGCCUGCACCGGCGGGCUCGAGCACGCGCCGCCAACCGCGACGGGCUGCUCAACACGCUCCGCGCCGCCACGGUAAACGGCCGGGAGGAGGAGGAGGACGCGCAGGAGGCAGGGCGGUGUCAGAAUCGCGCGCGUUGGAUCCGGCCGAUGGUUACGGCGACACGGACGCGGAUGCUCUGGCCGCGGCCGCCGCGCUCUAUGCCCCGCCCCUGCUUGCCGAGCCCUGCCUCUCCGGAUCUCCAGCCAUGUAUGAUGCUGGGGACCUUGCAGGUCCAUGCUCGUCGGCGAGGGGGAGCGCAGACAGCAGCCUAGCCCGUCACCGUCAGUAACAUGGCAGUAGGCCUCUUCUCCCCUUCUCAAUUUACAGCAGCAUGCCACACUCUCAGGCUCCUGUCCCCCGUCGUUAGCACACCGAUUCAGAGGCAGAGGCUGACUUGCAGCUCGUGGACACAGAGGAGGAAGCCUAAGAUCAAUCUCAAAAGUUGUUAUCAUUGUUCUCAGCCAGCGAUGCAUAGGGGAAUUGUUUGCUCAUCUAUGUGUUAAAAUCUGGACCUCUUCAUCAACGACUUCAAUAAGGAUGAGAUCAAGCUGCGUCUGCUGCUCUGUCCACCACAACAAUUUUGGAAUGCAUUAACUUUUAUCUGCCCAGGUUGAAUCCUUCAUUCCUCAUUCUCAUCCUAAUUUCUUGAUGUUGGGCAAGACACUCCAGAUGAGUUGCUAACAUCAAAAGGCUUCAGUUCUAACUAGAAGAAAUUUUGCUUAGGAAUAUUUUAUCAGUUUUGUGGUCAAUUAAUCAACUGGUGUUACAAUAAAAGCAAGAAAGUGAUGCAAGUUCUUUGGGAUAUAUGCACUGGAAAAUAUAUGAACACUGUUGGCCCAAAAUCACAGGGCCCCACUAAAUUGUUGGCCAUUUGGCCUCAUGAUUUUAAUGAUAAUCGUUCUACCAUGAAUUUUGUCUUCCGCUAGCAUUUCAACAGUACUGUGUGCUGUAGCAGUAUACAUCUGAAAGAGUUUCCUCCUAUGCCAUGGAUCCGGUGUAGCGCUCCAGUGAGAAAUAAUCAAUGGUGUACUUAUCCCCUUUACAUGUUCUUUAUUUACAUUUUUUACAUUGAAUUCUAAGCUAAGUGCUUAGUCUUUUGUUACUUGCAGCCUUGCAGGCAGGAACAUGAGCAUUCAUAUCUGGGAGUUCCGAAGAAGGCGUUGACCCCAUUAUAUAUAUUGCUGCUCUCUGCCAGAAACCAAACAAAUAACACUUCUAUGAUGCUGCUCACUGAUUGAUACUAAAUACGAGUAUAUGGCUUGUUCUCGAGGAUAGUUAUCACUUUUUGAUUCAUAUGGAAUUUGAGGAUAUGGAUGACACUGGUUUGUUUCUUUCACUACUAAAAUUCUGUCCACCAUUAGCUUACGGGCAAUGCUCCAGAUCCACGCGAACAUGCCCGAGUAAAUGCUCUUUAUGAUUCCAUGUUCUUAUGUAAUAAGACUUGAUGUGUUUUAUCUUCCAAUAAUUCAGACACGGGCCUUCCACAACUUGAUACAAGCUGCUGACAAGAGUUAGAGGGUUAGGUUUGAUAUUAUUAUUUGUUGUAUGACUAUUUGUUCUCAUUAUGGCACACCUUAUUUAUCUUUUAUUCAGUUACAUAGCUUGCCUGUAUUACUUCAAACAUAAUUAUACUGUGUACAUUUAGUGGAUACUAUUGUUGAGUAAAAACGAAAUUCGAACUUCAAAUUACAUACUGGAUUUAGAUUGUUUCCUUAGAAACCAAGAGUUCUUUUUUUGAUGAAACUGCCAGAUUGGCUUUUCAUUCAUGAAGAAGGGGUGUAGUACAAGGUGUUUCUCAAAAAUACAGGGUAGUAGAGCUGCAUACGAACUGUAUGCAGGAAACAUACAGUGGAACAUAACUGAAGCAUCUCUAAUCUGUCUCCCUUGGUUUUUGAAUCAGCUGGUUAAAACCCAAGAUAUCAUUUGCGGUUCCCAGUAGUUGUUUACUAGAGGUAUCCACGAUCCUUUAGAAAUUAGAAGUGAUAAGAAAAAAAAGUGGAACUGAACUGAAGCUAUUUCUGUUAGUAUUGUCUACGUCUCCUUGACCUUUCACGGGAAUCUGAUGUAACCAUCCUGCAACCUGCAAAUACUAUAGAUGAUAUGCAGAGAAGAUUUCAAUAUUACUUAUUACUGCCUUAGUACCAUGCCUUUCUUCUCUACAUAAAUCAUUUAUAAAGCUGUAGGAGGAGCUCAGCUUACAUAUAUGAAUAUCCGACUAAUUGCCUUACCACUAAUUAGUUGCCACACUGCAACUACUGACAGUGGAUACUGACAUCUUAUUCUCUUGGUAGAGUUCAAAACAACAUGAAUCAAGCUGAUGAAAUUCAGUUGUAUUUUUUUCUUUUCCGACCAUGUAGUUUUUUUAACUGCUCUGAAGGUCCUCUCAUAUAUAAUUAAGCUCACACACAAAUGUCCUUGUACGUACUAUAGAAUCAUAUAGCUGACAAUAUUGAACUUUUCUGUUGUAAUAAGAAUAUCAAGCAUUAUUUUGUCAUUGGUGUUUCAGUUUGUCGGUUACAGGUAUAUCAUUCCAAUAUUCAUACUAUAGAAGUUGUUGUCAGGGAGUGCGAGAGGGGUAGCAGAGUGGCCAGUGAGGGGAGCACCAUCACGGGAGCUGUGUUAAUAGAAGGCAACGUCGAGAAGAUGUCGACAACCUCCGUGGAUGAGCGGUGGUUGUGAGAGUUUGCCAAGGAAGGCCUACUCGAUCAUGGAGUGGCUAUCGCUGCAAAAGGCGACGCUAGCAACAGAGACAGCCAUCCAUUUGUGCCACCAUCAAUAACAACGUUGUAACAAGCAUGGCUCUGCACUGGUUGCUGAAGCAGUAGAGUGGCUUAUGUCAUGUAGGCAACUGGUGGCUACAAGGAUCCGUACGUAAACAUGAAUUCACAAAUUAAUCUACAACUAUGCGAAGAGGUGGCUACCUGGUGGCGUCGACUGGCCGUGAUGGUGGUUCUGGUGGGUCCCCGAUCUGGCUCGGACGGACGGCUGCUCCACGGGUGGUGAACGGUCAACACGGAGAGCACAACAUACCACAUACACCACCCGAUCAAUCUAGAGCCUGAAAGAGCAUCUGAGGACGCGAAAGAAAAAUUGCAAGUGAGGAGAGGAGACCAUCAAAUUGCAAGUGAGGAAAGGAGGAACAAAGUUGGUAGAUGCUCACCAAUGCCGGCGCUCCUCCACAAAUUUGCAGCUUUCCUCGAGCUCUCGUCUGUGGGUCUACUUCCUCAUCCUAACACAGAGCAAAUCAUGGCACAAGCAAUCAUGGCAGGAGGGGGGUUAAACGGGAUCUGACCUAGAUCGGGGAGAGAGAAAGAGGAACUCAUCGCGGUGGCCGGCCUCCCUCGCACCAUUCGCC